This 66-nucleotide transfer RNA is filed under the name Salmonella enterica subsp. enterica serovar Typhi. Its description in RNAcentral is "tRNA-Arg". It matches the Rfam family "tRNA". Rfam says of the family: Transfer RNA (tRNA) molecules are approximately 80 nucleotides in length. The record is from RNAcentral. Lineage: Bacteria; Pseudomonadati; Pseudomonadota; Gammaproteobacteria; Enterobacterales; Enterobacteriaceae.
GCAUCCGUAGCUCAGCUGGAUAGAGUACUCGGCUACGAACCGGUUCGAAUCCUCCCGGAUGCACCA